AUUGAACGCUGGCGGCAUGCCUUACACAUGCAAGUCGAACGGUAACAGGUUAAGCUGACGAGUGGCGAACGGGUGAGUAAUAUAUCGGAACGUGCCCAGUCGUGGGGGAUAACGUAGCGAAAGCUACGCUAAUACCGCAUACGAUCUACGGAUGAAAGCGGGGGACCGCAAGACCUCGCGCGAUUGGAGCGGCCGAUAUCAGAUUAGGUUGUUGGUGAGGUAAAAGCUCACCAAGCCUGCGAUCUGUAGCUGGUCUGAGAGGACGACCAGCCACACUGGAACUGAGACACGGUCCAGACUCCUACGGGAGGCAGCAGUGGGGAAUUUUGGACAAUGGACGCAAGUCUGAUCCAGCAAUGCCGCGUGCAGGACGAAGGCCUUCGGGUUGUAAACUGCUUUUGUACGGAACGAAACGGUGAGCUCUAAUACAGUUUGCUAAUGACGGUACCGUAAGAAUAAGCACCGGCUAACUACGUGCCAGCAGCCGCCGUAA
Molecule: ribosomal RNA, 493 nt
Filed under: uncultured bacterium
Lineage: Bacteria
Description: partial 16S ribosomal RNA
Rfam family: Bacterial small subunit ribosomal RNA
Source: RNAcentral